GGGGGUGCAACGGUUUCGACGGGGGUUUACGAGAGCAGAGACUGCGUGUCGCGGGGCCAAUCCGCCGUGUCAAAAACGGAAUGGAAAACACAGUUGCAAACAACAGCAACUACGGCCAAUUGGCCGCUGUCGCCUAAUUAGGCGUCACGACCCUUCCUGAGGGGCCUGAGUAGGGCAAGGGUCGUCAACACACGGGCUAGCGGCAACGAGCGUUCCGGCGUUGCGGCGAAAUCAAGGGGCUCGGGUUUAAGAUCGCCGGUCGUCGGGCGUGCUUCGACCUCAAACGUUAAAUACUGAUGACUACACACGUAGAUGUCCUGUUUGAGGGCUUCCGGACCCGGGUUCGACUCCCGGCGCCUCCAC
Molecule: transfer-messenger RNA, 363 nt
Filed under: marine eukaryotic metagenome
Rfam family: transfer-messenger RNA
About the family: Bacterial tmRNA, also known as 10Sa RNA or SsrA, is named for its dual tRNA and mRNA-like properties. Its role is to liberate the mRNA from a stalled ribosome.
Source: RNAcentral